RNAcentral lists this ribosomal RNA (150 nucleotides) under Aliivibrio fischeri. RNAcentral describes it as "partial 23S ribosomal RNA". It matches the Rfam family "Bacterial large subunit ribosomal RNA", at positions 1 to 142 of the family's 2925-position model. The record is from RNAcentral. Lineage: Bacteria; Pseudomonadati; Pseudomonadota; Gammaproteobacteria; Vibrionales; Vibrionaceae.
GUUGUAUGGUUAAGUAAUUAAGCGUACACGGUGGAUGCCUUGGCAGUCAGAGGCGAUGAAAGACGUAUUAACUUGCGAUAAGCCCAGAUUAGGUAGUAAAAACCAUUUGAGUCUGGGAUUUCUGAAUGGGGAAACCCACGUGCAUAAGCA